Molecule: non-coding RNA, 1581 nt
Organism: Oncorhynchus mykiss (rainbow trout)
Lineage: Eukaryota; Metazoa; Chordata; Actinopteri; Salmoniformes; Salmonidae
Source: RefSeq, a predicted model, not a curated record
UGUGUGUGUGUGUGUAUGUUCUUGCCUGCCUGUGUGUGCGCAUGUGCAUGAAUGCCCGUGUACGUGUGUGUGUUCACCCAGGGUUAAGCCUGAUCCAAGAGCCACCAGAGCCCCACACUAAUGAAUGAUAAUGGAUUAGAAGUAGAAAGGGAAGGGAAGGUGGGUUGCCAGGUUGAGAGGCGAAGGGCUUUAGACAAACGGCCACUUGAGAGAGGCUACAGUUCAGAGCCAUCACAGAUACACAGAUACAGGCUGUGGGUUAGCUAAAGCUGGACCCUAUUCCCUACAUAGUGCACUACUUUUGGUCAAAAGGGAAUGCCAUUUGGGGCACAUGCAUUAUCUCUGGCGUAAUGAUAAACACAGGAAGUGUUGGGGACCUGGGAGUCCUGGGCUGGGAUAAUAAAAGGCCAUUGUAUCACAGGGAGUUGAUCACAGACAGCUACUGUAGCAGCCAGCAUGGAGUGGACUGACUGACUCCUGGGGAUUGGUGCUGGAAAAACUAAGCCCAAAUUCUUAAUUUUAAAGGAGGACUGGAAGACUUUGAACUGCUUUUGAAAUGGAUAACAGUUUAAGAAUCCUCAAGUCUAAGAAAUGCAUUCAAAGUCCAGUCCAGUGCCUUCGGCAUUAAAACAACAGGACGGGCUAAUGUGGAAAUCAAGGUCACACCUCUCUGCAGCGUCAUCUUUUCGCGUCUCAGCCCACUGUCCAGUCCUGGCCCAUGGGAAUACUCUCUCACAGCAAUCAGUCACUGGUGUGGACCGACGGACCAUGGACCACAGGUCUGCUCUAGUGCCCUCACCUGGCACCAUCCAGCCAUUGCACCUGCUCAUCAUUCUAACCUGAAACCCAGCAGGACAGAGAACAGAAAAUCAUUAACAAUUAACAAGGUUGAUGGAAGAAGUUUGGUUCGAACAUUAGAGUAAUGGAGGAGGUUCCACACUUUUAUUUUCAUUGGAAAGCUGUGUUUCAGUUCUUCGUCAUCUGCCUGGCAAAAAUAUUAGUACAUUUACUUUCUAUUCUCUGUAAAUUGUCUGCAUCUAGCUAUCUAUUGAUUUGAUAGGAAAACCCUUGGCUUACCUCUUGUCACGCCCUGGCCUUAGUAUUUUCUUUAUUAUUUUGGUCAGGCCAGGGUGUGACAUGGGUGAUUUAUGUGUCUUGUCUUGUCUAGGGGUUUAUUAGAUUUAUGGGGUUGUGUUUGGUAGAGUUGUCUAGGAAAGUCUAUGGUUGCCUAGAGUGGUUCUCAAUCAGAGGCAGGUGUUUAUCGUUGUCUCUGAUUGGGAACCAUAUUUAGGCAGCCAUAUUCUCUGGGUAUUUUGUGGGUGAUUGUUUCCUGUCUUUGUUACACAAGAUAGGGCUGUUUCGGUUUUUCACGUUUUGUAAAUUGUUUGUAUUUUCCAUCUUUCAUUAAAGAUGUAUAAAGAUAACCAUGCUGCAUUUUGGUCCUCCUCUCUUUCACCAGAAGAAAACCGUAACACCUCUCUACCCUGAGACUAGUUUUUUUUGCCUUUAGGUUUUGUAACACCUCAGCUUCCUCGCAUUUACAGCUAAGAAACCACAGAAAAUGGUUCCUUUAGCAGGAUA